GGGGAUUUAGCUCAGUGGUUCCAGUGCCUGCCUUGCAAGCAUGAAGUCCUGAGUUCAAUCCCCG
RNAcentral lists this transfer RNA (64 nucleotides) under Heterocephalus glaber (naked mole-rat). It matches the Rfam family "tRNA". From Rfam's summary of the family: Transfer RNA (tRNA) molecules are approximately 80 nucleotides in length. Their secondary structure includes four short double-helical elements and three loops (D, anti-codon, and T loops). Further hydrogen bonds mediate the characteristic L-shaped molecular structure. tRNAs have two regions of fundamental functional importance: the anti-codon, which is responsible for specific mRNA codon recognition, and the 3' end, to which the tRNAs corresponding amino acid is attached (by aminoacyl-tRNA synthetases). tRNAs cope with the degeneracy of the genetic code in two manners: having more than one tRNA (with a specific anti-codon) for a particular amino acid; and 'wobble' base-pairing, i.e. permitting non-standard base-pairing at the 3rd anti-codon position. Lineage: Eukaryota; Metazoa; Chordata; Mammalia; Rodentia; Bathyergidae. The record is from Rfam by way of RNAcentral.